RNAcentral lists this ribosomal RNA (245 nucleotides) under uncultured bacterium. Its description in RNAcentral is "partial 16S ribosomal RNA". It matches the Rfam family "Bacterial small subunit ribosomal RNA", at positions 524 to 767 of the family's 1533-position model. The record is from RNAcentral.
UACGAAGGGGGCUAGCGUUGCUCGGAAUUACUGGGCGUAAAGCGCACGUAGGCGGCUUUCUAAGUCGGGGGUGAAAUCCUGGAGCUCAACUCCAGAACUGCCUUCGAUACUGGAAAGCUCGAGUCCGGGAGAGGUGAGUGGAACUGCGAAGUGUAGAGGUGAAAUUCGUAGAUAUUCGCAAGAACACCAGUGGCGAAGGCGGCUCACUGGCCCGGUACUGACGCUGAGGUGCGAAAGCGGAUGGG